GGACAAGGCGGGGACCCGGGCGGGGACCGGGGCGGGGGCGCGCGGGGGCCGGGGUGGGGGUGUCUCGCCGCGCGCGCCCUCCUCCCGCUCCUCCGGGUUCCUGGUCCCCAGCCUGUGGGGGGCUUGGGCUGUAGCGCUGGGGCGGGGGCUUUAGAUCACCCCGAAAACAGGACCUCUGGCGACCUUCUCGUUUUCCACCGGGAGCGGAGAGAGCCGAUCUCCUUUUCCUGCUAGCCCCGUAGGACAGUCCCCGGAGCAGCUCAUAGGAAUAUGACGAACGUUUACUCAGGGCUGGUUACUAUGUACACUGCGCCCCGCGCGCGGCGAGUUUACCUCGGUUCACCUCCCGGCAACCGGCGGCCCGGAUAUUAUCAGAUGCUGUGGGCUUCCCGGCGCCUCAUUGCCCGAGGAGAGGCGGCCGCAGACCUACUCUCCACCCUUUUCCUUCCUGAUUUGAACCUCAAGAGGCCAACCUGCAUGGACUGCUUCCACAGAUCCCUUGUCCUCUGACUUACAGUUGAAUUCACCAAAUAGAAGACAUUGGAAAUGAGACCCGAGGGUUGGAGGAGGAGGAAGCCUGCAAUGUGAACACGAUGGCUGGAGCUCCGGCAGCCAUUCUGGACCAGGAGGUAGCCUUGAAGAUGGAAGCCACAUGUUGGGAUGGUGAAUCCAAAAGAUGAGGAGCCUGUAUCCCCUGUGACACCAGAACUGCCAUACCAGCCCUGGGUUCCUCCAUCUAUACUGCCUUCAUAUGGUAAAGAAAUAUUCUUGGAUCUUGUUAGGUGUCUGUUGCAGCCAAACACAAUCCCAACUGAUAUUCACUGUAAAUGAUUCCAUGGCUCCCUGUAGUACUUCUACAAAGCAUCUAUCACAAUUGUAAUUAAUAAAAUAAUUAUGCAAUUACUGGUUUAAUGCCUAAGUCCCAAGUAGAAUAUCAGUUCCAUGGGGGCAGGGAUUAGUCUGUUCAUGGAUGUAUUCCCAGCUCCUGUAACAACAUCUGGUUCUGGUAGGUGGUAAGUGCACAAUAAAUGUA
Molecule: long non-coding RNA, 1033 nt
Filed under: Homo sapiens (human)
Lineage: Eukaryota; Metazoa; Chordata; Mammalia; Primates; Hominidae
Description: HSALNT0003314
Source: RNAcentral